CCUACGGGAGGCAGCAGUGAGGAAUAUUGGUCAAUGAACGAGAGUCUGAACCAGCCAAGUAGCGUGAAGGAUGACUGCCCUAUGGGUUGUAAACUUCUUUUAUAUGGGAAUAAAAUGUUCCACGUGUGGGAUUUUGUAUGUACCAUAUGAAUAAGGAUCGGCUAACUCCGUGCCAGCAGCCGCGGUAAUACGGAGGAUCCGAGCGUUAUCCGGAUUUAUUGGGUUUAAAGGGAGCGUAGGUGGAUUGUUAAGUCAGUUGUGAAAGUUUGCGGCUCAACCGUAAAAUUGCAGUUGAAACUGGCAGUCUUGAGUACAGUAGAGGUGGGCGGAAGUCGUGGUGUAGCGGUGAAAUGCUUAGAUAUCACGAAGAACUCCGAUUGCGAAGGCAGUUCACUGGACUGCAACUGACACUGAGGCUCGAAAGUGUGGGUAUCAAACAGGAUUAGAUACCCCAGUAGUC
This 460-nucleotide ribosomal RNA is filed under the name uncultured bacterium. RNAcentral describes it as "partial 16S ribosomal RNA". It matches the Rfam family "Bacterial small subunit ribosomal RNA", at positions 338 to 795 of the family's 1533-position model. The record is from RNAcentral.